GGGCCCGUGGCAUAGACUGGUUAUUGCGCUGCUCUGAUAAGGCAGAUGUCGCGUGUUCAAAUCACGUCGGGCCCACCA
Molecule: transfer RNA, 78 nt
Filed under: Candidatus Thorarchaeota archaeon
Lineage: Archaea; Promethearchaeati; Candidatus Thorarchaeota
Description: tRNA-Ile
Rfam family: tRNA
About the family: Transfer RNA (tRNA) molecules are approximately 80 nucleotides in length. Their secondary structure includes four short double-helical elements and three loops (D, anti-codon, and T loops). Further hydrogen bonds mediate the characteristic L-shaped molecular structure. tRNAs have two regions of fundamental functional importance: the anti-codon, which is responsible for specific mRNA codon recognition, and the 3' end, to which the tRNAs corresponding amino acid is attached (by aminoacyl-tRNA synthetases). tRNAs cope with the degeneracy of the genetic code in two manners: having more than one tRNA (with a specific anti-codon) for a particular amino acid; and 'wobble' base-pairing, i.e. permitting non-standard base-pairing at the 3rd anti-codon position.
Source: RNAcentral